RNAcentral lists this long non-coding RNA (500 nucleotides) under Ursus maritimus (polar bear). Its description in RNAcentral is "lncRNA (ENSUMAG00000006436.1)". The record is from RNAcentral. Lineage: Eukaryota; Metazoa; Chordata; Mammalia; Carnivora; Ursidae.
UGCCAGAGCUAAUCUGGGUUUCCAUACCUUGUAAGCAUACCUCGAAAGACUAAGCCCUUCCUUAAUUUCGGCAGCUGUUGUACACAGAGCCCGAGCCCAGCAUAGAGAUGGCUUCGUAAAUUGGGCGAAUGCGCUUGGAAACCAACGGUGACCCGUACUACGGACUGAGACGGAUGCUAAGGUCGUUUGGAUAUAGCAACACAAGUUGGAACAUUCACAUAAUCCAUCUACCCUGUGUUCAUUCCCUCGUUUGUGAAUGGAUGCUUUCUUAACACAGACAUUCAGAAGCUCUCCAAGUAUCCAGUGACCACUUCUCAGUACUCCUGACCUCCUCUCACAUUACGGAAUAUUUAGCCUUUGUGACCAAUGUUCGGAAGCAGGUAGAUCUAGGUUUCAUCAGAUGACAGCAUUAUUUCAGUGCUAAGAGAGGGAGAUACAUACAUACACAUGUACGUAGCUACUUAUGGUGUGUCACCCUCCUUACUGAGGCUAAGAGAAAU